UGGAAGUAAAAGUCGUAACAAGGUCUCCGUUGGUGAACCAGCGGAGGGAUCAUUACAGAGUUACUACUCCAAACCCAUUGUGAACCUUACCUAUGUUCUGUUGCCUCGGCGGCGUGGUCAGCGCCCCCUCUGAAAAGAGGACGAUGCCCUCCCGCCGGCAGCACCAAACUCUUUGAAUUUUACAGCGGAUUACAGUUCUGAUUUGAAAACAAAAAACAAGUUAAAACUUUCAACAACGGAUCUCUUGGUUCUGGCAUCGAUGAAGAACGCAGCGAAAUGCGAUAAGUAAUGUGAAUUGCAGAAUUCAGUGAAUCAUCGAAUCUUUGAACGCACAUUGCGCCCGGCAGUAAUCUGCCGGGCAUGCCUGUCCGAGCGUCAUUUCAACCCUCGAACCUCCGUUUCCUCAGGGAAGCUCAGGGUCGGUGUUGGGGCGCUACGGCGAGUCUUCGCGACCCUCCGUAGGCCCUGAAAUACAGUGGCGGUCCCGCCGCGGUUGCCUUCUGCGUAGUAAGUCUCUUUUGCAAGCUCGCAUUGGGUCCCGGCGGAGGCCUGCCGUCAAACCACCUAUAACUCCAGAUGGUUUGACCUCGGAUCAGGUAGGGUUACCCGCUGAACUUAAGCAUAUCAAUAAGCGGAGGA
RNAcentral lists this unclassified non-coding RNA (639 nucleotides) under Scedosporium boydii. RNAcentral's name for it is "sequence contains 18S rRNA gene, ITS1, 5.8S rRNA gene, ITS2, 28S rRNA gene". The stretch from base 225 to 378 matches the Rfam family "5.8S ribosomal RNA". The record is from RNAcentral. Lineage: Eukaryota; Fungi; Ascomycota; Sordariomycetes; Microascales; Microascaceae.